UCCAACUUAACGUUGGCAGUCUCAUUAGAGUGCCCAACUUAAUGCUGGCAACUAAUGAUAAGGGUUGCGCUCGUUGCGGGACUUAACCCAACAUCUCACGACACGAGCUGACGACAGCCAUGCAGCACCUGUCUCACUGUCCCUUUCGGGCCGUUCAUAUCUCUAUGAAAUUCAGUGGAUGCCAAACCCAGGUAAGGUUUUUCGCGUUGCAUCGAAUUAAACCACAUGCUCCACCGCUUGUGCGGGCCCCCGUCAAUUUCUUUGAGUUUUAAUCUUGCGACCGUACUCCCCAGGCGGGAUACUUAACGCGUUAGCUCCGGCACUGAAGGGGUCAAUACCUUCAACACCAAGUAUCCAUCGUUUACGGCGUGGACUAC
This 377-nucleotide unclassified non-coding RNA is filed under the name uncultured Pseudobdellovibrionaceae bacterium. RNAcentral's name for it is "uncultured Bdellovibrionaceae bacterium contains 16S-23S intergenic spacer region". Lineage: Bacteria; Pseudomonadati; Bdellovibrionota; Bdellovibrionia; Bdellovibrionales; Pseudobdellovibrionaceae. The record is from RNAcentral.